This 489-nucleotide ribosomal RNA is filed under the name uncultured bacterium. RNAcentral's name for it is "bacterial SSU rRNA". It matches the Rfam family "Bacterial small subunit ribosomal RNA", at positions 118 to 594 of the family's 1533-position model. The record is from RNAcentral.
UGGGAAAUCUGCCGAGUAGCGGGGGACAACGUUUGGAAACGAACGCUAAUACCGCAUAACAAUGAGAAUCGCAUGAUUCUGAUUUAAAAGAAGCAACUGCUUCACUACUUGAUGAUCCCGCGUUGUAUUAGCUAGUUGGUAGUGUAAAGGACUACCAAGGCGAUGAUACAUAGCCGGCCUGAGAGGGUGAACGGCCACACUGGGACUGAGACACGGCCCAGACUCCUACGGGAGGCAGCAGUAGGGAAUCUUCGGCAAUGGGGGCAACCCUGACCGAGCAACGCCGCGUGAGUGAAGAAGGUUUUCGGAUCGUAAAACUCUGUUGUUAGAGAAGAACGUUAAGUAGAGUGGAAAGUUACUUAAGUGACGGUAUCUAACCAGAAAGGGACGGCUAACUACGUGCCAGCAGCCGCGGUAAUACGUAGGUCCCGAGCGUUGUCCGGAUUUAUUGGGCGUAAAGCGAGCGCAGGUGGUUCCUUAAGUCUGAUG